This is a small nucleolar RNA of Psammomys obesus (fat sand rat), 141 nucleotides long. RefSeq annotates it as small nucleolar RNA SNORA29. The record is from RefSeq and is a predicted model, not a curated record. NCBI's taxonomy places the organism in Eukaryota, Metazoa, Chordata, Mammalia, Rodentia, Muridae. The transcript has a single exon.
CAUUGCACAGGCAAUAGUUGUUUCCUUUCCUUACAGAGUACAGUGACUAUGUGUAUGGACUAAAUUUAAAUUGCCAUGCUCUGGAGAGAGGGGGCUUCUCAGUGUCCUCUCUUUCUCUACAAAAUGGCUGACUAUAUCACC